GAUGAACGCUGGCGGCGUGCCUAAUACAUGCAAGUCGAGCGAAUGGAUUAAGAGCUUGCUCUUAUGAAGUUAGCGGCGGACGGGUGAGUAACACGUGGGUAACCUGCCCAUAAGACUGGGAUAACUCCGGGAAACCGGGGCUAAUACCGGAUAACAUUUUGAACCGCAUGGUUCGAAAUUGAAAGGAGGCUUCGGCGUUCACUUAUGGAUGGACCCGCGUCGCAUUAGCUAGUUGGUGAGGUAACGGCUCACCAAGGCAACGAUGCGUAGCCGACCUGAGAGGGUGAUCGGCCACACUGGGACUGAGACACGGCCCAGACUCCUACGGGAGGCAGCAGUAGGGAAUCUUCCGCAAUGGACGAAAGUCUGACGGAGCAACGCCGCGUGAGUGAUGAAGGCUUUCGGGUCGUAAAACUCUGUUGUUAGGGAAGAACAAGUGCUAGUUGAAUAAGCUGGCACCUUGACGGUACCUAACCAGAAAGCCACGGCUAACUACGUGCCAGCAGCCGCAGUAA
Molecule: ribosomal RNA, 515 nt
Filed under: uncultured bacterium
Lineage: Bacteria
Description: partial 16S ribosomal RNA
Rfam family: Bacterial small subunit ribosomal RNA
Source: RNAcentral